AGAACAUCCAAUAGUCAAAGGCAUAUGCAAUACAAAUCGUAUAGCGAGAAAUAGUCCUAUAAUUCCUAUAAUAACUACAACCUAUAACUUCUUACCUGGGAAUAUUGAAGACUCAUGUUAAAAGGAACCACCAGCUUUCAUACGUUCUGAGCAAGGAACUUAAACGUUAGCUUUUUUACAUGGCACAUAUUGCACUUUUACUUUCUUCUCCAACACUUUGUUGUUUCAUUAUUUAUUUGAGGCUAGAUUGAUAGUAUUUAUGUACUAUAUUAAGUUAAAAUAUGUGUUCAUUCAGUAUUGUUGUAAUUAUCAUUUACAAAUUUAAAAAUCAGCUGAUUAAUCGUAUCGUCUUUUUUUGGUCCUCCAAUAAUCGGUAUCGGCGUUGAAAAAUCCUAAUUGGUCGACCUCUACUAAUUACCUGGCGCCAUCAGCACAGUUUAAGAAACUGAAUAUCUUGUCUAUUUACGAUGUUAAUGUAAGCCAAUUAUGCACUUUCAUCAAUACUCAUAUCUCCCAGACAGUUUACCUAAACCCUUCAAUGGAUUCUUCCAGGUUAAUUCUGAAAUCCACCUAUAUAACACAGGACACUGCGAUAACCUUCAGCCUCCCCACUGCCGCACCUCACAUAGUCAAUUCUCUAUCAGAUAAAGAGGUACUAUACUCUGGAAUUAUUAUCUUCACAUUGCCAAAACAUCAUCAUCCCUCAAUAAUUUCAAGCGAAGACUGGGGGUCUGCCUGAUGAACCAAACUACUCAGUAAUCUCCUCCAUGAAGACUGGAGGUCAGCCUGAUGAACCAAACUACUCAGUAAUCUCCUCCAUGAAGACUGGGGGUCAGCCUGAUGAACCAAACUACUCAGUAAUCUCCUCCAUGAAGACUGGGGGUCAGCCUGAUGAACCAAACUACUCAGUAAUCUCCUCCAUGAAGACUGGGGGUCAGCCUGAUGAACCAAACUACUCAGUAAUCUCCUCCAUGAAGACUGGGGGUCAGCCUGAUGAACCAAACUACUCAGUAAUCUCCUCCAUGAAGACUGGGGGUCAGCCUGAUGAACCAAACUACUCAGUAAUCUCCUCCAUAUAGCCUAACUCACACACAUGCACACUCAUUUAAACAAAACAAGUAUUUAUUUUUGGGUGAUUACUGAUCAGUUCAUUUAUACAUGUAUAAUUAGUAUGUUUUGUUAUCUGUUUUAUUUUGGACUUGUGUAUUGUGUACAGUUUUUAUUGUGGUUUUUAUAUAAUUCUUUGGGCUUCUAACCACACCUGCAAACUGUUUUUUAAAUGUUUUUAUCUGUAUUGUUGUCUACCACUUGUUUUGUUGGGUGCGAGUAAAUAAAACUAGACAGACAGACAGAUAGAGGGGGGAGUAGGGUGUCUGUUAGAUCUGGAACUCUGUCCUUAUCUUUAAAAAGACUCAAAUGGUUUCCCCACAAACCAUCACAAUCAUCAUGCAUGUGUUUCAGAGCAUCUCUGCUUUUCAGUGUUGUUGUAUGCAUUCAGCUGUUUCCUUUGGUGAUGAGUGGUGACCUCAGGAAUAAAGAUUGUCCUCUGUCUGUCUCUCUCUCUCUCUCUCUCUCUCUGUAUGUGUGUCUUUCUCUGUGUCUCUCUUUCCCUCUCUCUCUCUCAGGUCUGGAGCUGAACGGGAUGGGGGUUGAUAAAGGGGAGACUCCUCCUCCCCUGCCCGUGAAGGGCAUCUCUGCUGAUUAUGGGAACCUGCUAGGAGAUAAUCAAGACUUGACGAGUCCCUCCACCCCUCCCCUGACACACCAUCAAAGGCAUCUGCCACCACCUCUUCCCAGCAAGACCCCUCCUCCCCCUCCUCCUAAGACCACCAGGAAACAAGCCUCCAUCGAUUCAGGAAUUGUACAAUGAACAAUGACAUUAAGACACCCGAUAUAAAAAAACAAGGUUCUUUCCCCUCUGUAAUCUCUUCCCCCCAUGCGUUCCAAAAUGGCGGCCUAUUUCCAAUAGUGCACUACUUUGGACUACUUUUGACCAUAGGGCUCUGGUCAAACGUAGGGCCACUAUAUAGUGAAGAGUGUGCCAUUUGGGGAAACAGCAACAGUCUGACCAGGAGUGAAAGAAGAGUAUCUCACUCAGGUAACACUCCUUAUUGAGCCACUCAUUUUGGCUGUGUCCCAAACGGCACCCUAUUCCCAAUAUAGUGCACUACUUUUGACCACGGCCCCGAUAAGGCUCUGGUAAAUAGUAGUUCACUACGUAGGGAAUAGGGUGCCAUUUGGGGCAGAGCCUCAUUGGAUUCUUUCAUUUUUGCCUCAAGUGUGAUGAUGCGGUCUACUUUACCGUAGGUAGAUAGGUGAAUCAGUUUCACAUGAUUACUGGUCACUGAAUUUAUUGAUGCUAUCUAUCAUCUAUGACUCUAUUCUCCACUUGAUACCACUUAGUUCAGGCCUUUGUAAUGCUAUGAGGUCGUGUUCCACCUAUAGAAUUAGAAUGAGUGAAAUGAAUAUAGAAUCAGAACCAGGUGAAUGAAGCGUUCUCUGGUUCUGUCUUUUACACUUUGACCAAUAGACAGGCUGGUGAGUGACGACCAACGUUCUGACCCUUCCCACCUGCUCUUAGAAACCGGGGAGCACAUAGUAACAGAAACAUGCUUUUUAUUCUGUGGUUUAUCUUUUGUAUCCAUAGUUACAGAAAACAUCAUUUUAUUCAGUGGUUUAUCUUUUUUUAUCCGUAUUCCCGCUUUGUACAGAGGUUUGUAUAUAGGAUUUCAUUUUUUAUGUGGAAUUUAUCAUUACUUUUUUUGUAUUAACAUUGCAUUAGAUUAACUGGUUUUCAUUUAUAUCCCCC
Molecule: long non-coding RNA, 2809 nt
Filed under: Salmo salar (Atlantic salmon)
Lineage: Eukaryota; Metazoa; Chordata; Actinopteri; Salmoniformes; Salmonidae
Description: lncRNA (ENSSSAG00000118425.1)
Source: RNAcentral